AGUAGUUUAGUUGGAUAAAACAUUAGCCUCCGGAGCUAAAGAGCGAGGGUUCGAGUCCCUCCUG
RNAcentral lists this transfer RNA (64 nucleotides) under human gut metagenome. It matches the Rfam family "tRNA", at positions 6 to 65 of the family's 71-position model. Rfam says of the family: Transfer RNA (tRNA) molecules are approximately 80 nucleotides in length. The record is from RNAcentral.